AUUGAACGCUGGCGGCAGGCCUAACACAUGCAAGUCGAGCGGAUGAAGGGAGCUUGCUCCUGGAUUCAGCGGCGGACGGGUGAGUAAUGCCUAGGAAUCUGCCUGGUAGUGGGGGAUAACGUCCGGAAACGGGCGCUAAUACCGCAUACGUCCUGAGGGAGAAAGUGGGGGAUCUUCGGACCUCACGCUAUCAGAUGAGCCUAGGUCGGAUUAGCUAGUUGGUGGGGUAAAGGCCUACCAAGGCGACGAUCCGUAACUGGUCUGAGAGGAUGAUCAGUCACACUGGAACUGAGACACGGUCCAGACUCCUACGGGAGGCAGCAGUGGGGAAUAUUGGACAAUGGGCGAAAGCCUGAUCCAGCCAUGCCGCGUGUGUGAAGAAGGUCUUCGGAUUGUAAAGCACUUUAAGUUGGGAGGAAGGGCAGUAAGUUAAUACCUUGCUAUUUUGACGUUACCAACAGAAUAAGCACCGGCUAACUUCGU
RNAcentral lists this ribosomal RNA (483 nucleotides) under uncultured bacterium. Its description in RNAcentral is "partial 16S ribosomal RNA". It matches the Rfam family "Bacterial small subunit ribosomal RNA", at positions 30 to 506 of the family's 1533-position model. The record is from RNAcentral.